Long non-coding RNA from Lontra canadensis (Northern American river otter), 447 nucleotides. RefSeq lists it as uncharacterized. The transcript has 2 exons. Lineage: Eukaryota; Metazoa; Chordata; Mammalia; Carnivora; Mustelidae. The record is from RefSeq and is a predicted model, not a curated record.
CUGAUGAGCUUAAACUUUCCAACUGCAGGAACAGGAUGCCUUUCCCUAUUCAACUGCUGCUGGAGGACUGAAUGAUUGGAGGAUAAUCAGGCAGAUAAUUCCAUAAUGUAGUCUUAGCACUAGCCAACGCUCUUCAAUCAAGAUCACCUCAGGACUACAAAAUGGCUGCUGCCACACCAGUCAUUACAACCAUGUUUCAGGCAGAAAAAGAUGGAAGACCAACAAAGAACCUGCCCAUAUAACCCCAUUUUUAGGAAGAAUUUCCAGAAAUCUUAUCUAGUUUCUUCCUUUAUACCAUUGACCAGAAGGUAGUCAUAUGACCACUCUUAUCUGGAAGGGAGGCUGGGAAAUCUAACUUUUCAGCCUGGCACAUUGCUACCUUCAACAAAAUCAGGGCCCUGUGUAAGUAAGAAGAGAGGAAUAAACUUUGGGUAGGCAAACCAGCAA